GAAGAAGAGGGGUUAAUAUGAAAAUCAGAGAGAGCUGAGGCUGUAUCAAGAAGCCAGUGCAGGUUGAGUGGAUUUUUGCACAGGGGAAGCAUCUGUAGACAAGAUGAAACAACCACUGUAUAAGCAAAGACCUGAAAGAGUUUUGUAAGGAAUAGCAGUCCAUUAUAUCAACGGAGCAAUCCUGUAAUCCUUGUGAAGAAGCAAUUAAUCUCCAGUGAUGUAAGGUAUGUCUGCAAGCCUGAUAAGGUGUUUCUGCAAGUUAGUUCCUGCUGAAAGGCCCUGUGAUUCUGUUAAAUUGUUAUUCAUUCCAAAGCAACCCAUCUGAAGAGGCAACGUGUGCUAAUGUGGGUUUGCCACUUUAUGGCUAUGACCACACAGCUGCUUUUGAUCUGCUUGGAAUAUGAUCAAACCUGCUUGCUCUAUAUUAUAUGGGUGCAUCUAUCAUGAAACAUACCUUUUGCAAAGUGCAUAUAAAAGCACUUCAGUGUAAAUUAGGCCAAACGCAUUCUUUGAGUAGGUCUGAAGUCCAUUGAGGUUAUUCCAUUGAACAACUAAGUUAAAUUUAGUUUUCUGUCUUUUUAGCAACUCAGCAGAACUCCGUGCAAGCAAAUGACAUCAUCCAAGACUCUUAGCUAAACCAAGGAUAAUAGCAUAGCUGUUCAUAUCAUUGCAAAUGCUAAUUGUAUUUUUGUGCACAAUAAUUGGAGUGAAACAUCAAAAAAAAACAAAAACAAAAACAAAAACAAAACAAAACAAAAAACUGUUAGGGCUGUGUGUUCUUGCAUUGGGGUUGUUAUUUCAGUGGGUCUGGAGAGGAUGGUGAAAACAGUGAAGCAGGCUUUAUAAACCCUGUAGGAGCAACACUAGUGCUGCCACUGAGCUUUCUAUUUUAGCACUGUUGCAACUGGUUUCUAAGUGGAAGAAAUGUAAGAGGCACAAUAAAUAUUAGAGUGGUAGGAAAGCAAAAGCAAGCAAAGACUAAAACUUGUGCAGCUGUAGGCCUGCCUCUAUACUCUAGGGGGGCAAAGGGUUGGUUCAAACAUAUCGCGGCUGUGCUUUAUGCAGGAAAAGAAGACUUGCUUUCCCAAAAUGGUGAAAGCUUAUAGUGUAAACACAGCCCAUGGUGUGUGUAUAUCCUUAUGAAGCUUUCUUUACAGUGCAGUGCCAGAACUUACUUCCUUGAUAAGCUACAGAAUGUAGUACAGAUGCAGGCCUGUAGCUGAGGUCGCAAAUUAGAGUUAAUUUGGAUAUCUCUGCACUGGGUUGGUUUGGUGACAUUUGUGUUAGUAAAUAAAAGAGGACAAGGCGUGCUCUCUGGUCAUGUGGACAAAUGUCCAUGGCAUAACUGAUGUCCAUAUGAUAAAUUGUUUUUGCCUUGCCCUUUCUGCCUGUGAGGCGUAGUCCCCAUCUCAUGUAAAACCCUCAAGCUGUGUGUCCAGUUCUAUGCGCAGGAGCACUGCUGAGCCCUGGCUGGUUUCUUGGUAUAGCCUUAGUGGCCGACUUCCUUUUUUAUCCUAUAAACUGAGUUAAAAGGAACCAAGGUAAAGCUGAAAUGUAAAUACUAAUGUAUUUACAUUUAAUGUAAAUGUAAUGUAAUUAAAUGUAAAUCUGCCUAGAUACCUGUCUAUACUGCUGCUGGUGUAGUGGUGGCUCUGUAUAGCUGAAUACCGGAGAACUGCCUACUGAAGACAUUAGCUCAUUUGGCUUCACGAACCUCUUCAUGACCUUCAAGCCAAACAUGUGGUUAAGUGUUUGGCUGGAAAGAGGCCUCUUUUAUACUGAUAAGAAAUACUGUUUUCAGGGCAAUUGGACACUCAUUCUCUCAUCUCUCCUUUAACCUUUCUUUUCUGCUGUUGCCUAUAAUAGAUGCACAGUCUCACUUCACUUUCCUACCUUAUUACCACAGUUGACAUCUCCAUCUUACCUCUCUCAAUAUAGAGAUCAACAUUGAUCUCUCAACAUCUUUCUUUAUCUUUUUUUUUUUUUUUCUUUUUUUUUAAUUUGAGCCUUUCCUAUACAUUCAAGUCCACUCUACAUCAGAUUUUUUCCUCAGACUGGCCCGUGAAAGACUUGCCAUAUCCAUCCUAGAUUUCUCUAGUUACUUUUCACAGUUGUAUGAAGUAUUUCAUGAUAAUGGCUGUUCAUUGUAUAGACUGUUUCUUCAUACUAAAUCCAGAAAGUUAAAGAGGUUGUUGUAGAAGAAAUAGAAAGAAUAGAAAUAGAUGAAAUCCUAUCUCCAAUCAGUCCUUUUUGAGGUACCUAAAAAGAGUGAAUAUUAGGAAAUUUUUAGUUUUAUUUAUUUAUUGUUAGUUAACUGUCACAUACCAGAACUUAGAGACUAUAGAAUCAGGAAACUUCAUUUAUACUGCGGUACAUGGUUGAGCUGAUCCAAAGAGCCACACUUUGUCAGAGUUUUUUUUAUUUUGUUUUGUUUUGUUUUGUUUUGUUUGUUUUCUGAUAAUUUAUAAUUUGGGCUAUUCUACUAUUUCCCACACACCUGGAUGAUGUCUGAGUAAACAUGCACUUAAAGAAAUGCAUUUCUGAUACUACUGUCUCUAAACAGAUCACCUGUAGAAUUUCUUCAAAUUUGUAUAUACUGAAAACAUAGAUAUGUUGCACAAGCUUGAGAAUGCACCUUCCAAAUUAUUCUAAAGAUGGGUAGAAAAAAACCUGGUGGUAUUCAAGAAAACACAAGACUUCACCAUAUACAAUUUAAUACUGUAUUAAACACUGAACUGAAAGGAAUUUAAUGAUUGGAAGUAGAAAAUGUCUAGUCUCUUAAUCCUAUCUGUUAAACAGAAAUGUUAUUAAAUGACACUGUAGUUACCUAAAGGAUUUAAUAUCUUUCUUAGAUGGCAAUCAGACAAUUUAAGCUAAUUAAAAAACAAAAAUGUACUGCUUUUCCUAUUUCGAAAAACAUCUAUAGAAUGUAAUGGGAGAAAGACAAGACCUUAUUUAGGUUGUAAAAUGCAAUGAAUGAUUUCUGACAUGUAGAAGAUGUUGUGCUUUCCAGUAAAAGAAGAAGUAUGGCUAAUCUUUCACUAUUUAAUGAAUUGAUUUAUUUCUUUAAAUUGUUAGAAAGUGCAUGGGCAUCAUUUCAUUACUCUGCUGUUUAAAUGAAACAUCUAGAUCCUUAGGGCAGGCUCUGUCUUCCAGUGAUAUAUACAUAUAAAGGUUGGUCCUCUGGACUUGGACUGCAAUUUCUAGGCACUGCCAUGCUGCAAAUUAUAAACAUCUAUGCGAAAAUGCUUUUUAUGCUGUUUGGCUCUGAAUCAAGAAUGAAUAAGUCACUUCUAAAGAUUCUGGCAAAUAAAUUGGAUCUCCAGUCGCCUCUUGUACACAUGUUCAGCUUCCAGUAAUCUGCUAAUUACUCUUAAAAUUAGCACUGCCUGCAGCCUGCAGGAAAAUAUGCAGUAAAUCUUCAGUCACGUGAACUUUUGAACCCAGACUUUUAAUAAAUAUAAUGAGAUGGUCACUUAAUAAAGACUUUAAUCAAAAUUUUAGAGUGCUUCAUUCUGCACUAAAAUGCAGAGAGGAUUUACAAAUAAGGAAACCAAAUUGUAUAUAAUGAAUUGGGAAUAAAAUAUGGCUGAUUAUUCCAGCUUCAAAUGGCUGGAAUAGAGCUGUGAGAGAACAUCCCUUACCAAAAAUCCUUAAAUCCCCUUAUAUUCUUCCUUGAAAAAGUUGAACUUCUAUUUCUGAAAAAACUCUUUGAAGUCUAUUAGGCGACUCCAUCUUAUUCCAAAAAUUAACUCCAAGAAAACUGCUGACAAGACAUACAAUCACUCUCUUUUUAGAAAGAAUCAAAUGUGCAUUUUCAAGAGGGAAAAAUACAGAGGAGCUUUUUCUUUCAUAAGCUGGGGGAAAUGGGAAGACUGCAAAGAAGCUUUUAUGAUGGUGUGGAGUACAGCAUUGGGGUGAAGUGGCUGAAAAGGAUAUAAGAAAUUAGUGCUGUAUGGACUGCCAUGCCACAAUCUCUGAUUUUUUUCUUGUGGUACCCUACUGGGAUGAUCCAGUUUUGAGAAGCUUUGACAUGACACUUCUGUUUGUAUUCACAUUCUUGUUGGGGUACACCUGCAUUAUGCCCUGCACCACCAUCCCCUUCCCUUUUCCCUCAUUCAAUGUUCCUCCACAGUCUGGAUCUACAGGACUACACUGUGGGGAAAGAGGCAUCUGGUGCUGAAGUUCUGCUGAUAUGGGUCUAAACCCAGCCCAGACCUUUUGUACAUGGUAGUAGAAAAUCAGGCUGAUUCCAUGGGCACUCACACUCUCAACAUUUUAGCCUUGUGUUUAUUUAGUGUUCAGUAUUUUAAAAGAAAAAACAAACAAACAAACAAACAAACAAACAAAACAACAAAAAAAAAAACACCAGGAAGCAUUUUAAAUAUCGGGAAUUCAAAAUCUUGUGCAUGGUAUCUACCAUGUUUGGAUUUUGAGCCUGUUUCAGCUGGUAGGCAUGAUUCCAAUCAAAACAAUUUGUGAGUAGAAUCAACCUUUGGCAAGGUUUCAACUAUUUGAAGAUUUAGAGAGCUGGAACUCUAUUUUUACAGCUGUUUCCAUAUGAAUUUAUGGAUUUGAAGUAAACCCCUUUUUGGUGUAUAAGCACUGUUCAAAAUGGCAUCUUUUGGAUCCCAGUUCAGAGUUUCAUCUAGUCUUGAGCAAUGCAUCUUUUUCAACUUUGUGCAAUUAGUAUGUAUAAUUUUACAGAAGCAGCAGUGUAAAAUGUAAACUGUGUCUGUGUGACCAUGGCAGUAAUCAUUUGAUCAACACUGGUCUUUUGAAAACUUUCAAGACUUUUUCUCAAGCUAUGAAUGCCUAAAGGAUUCCUACUUUUCCUUUUCUAAAAUACAGUUUAAAAAUUAUUAUGUUGGAUUUUUUCCUCUAUUCAGCCACAUAUUAGAAUUAUUUUUCAUCAGUUCUACUACUGUUCACUUUAGAAUUAAACCUGACAUUACAAACACUGAAUGUACUUUGUUAGUAGAAGUCGACCUUUUAAGCUUUCAUUUUUCAAAGUGUCUGCUUGUCAAAAAACAGAAAGAAGGUGGGGGGAUUGGGGGUGGGGACGGAUCACAUAUUGUAUAGUAACAAACAAAAAAGCAACACAAAAGAUUUUUCUUUUGAAACCUGGCAUGUACUCCAGAAUAGUUCUUGCCAUGGGAACAUUUAAUUAAUCUCAGCAGCUUCCACUUUUCCCAGUUGGGUACUGUCCUGUCACUUCUCCUGGUAAUUGCAAAUACAAAGCUGUUUUACAUACAAUAAUGGGUGAGUGAGUUGGUGUUCCUGCUCAUUUUGCUAAGCUGCAGAAGCAUAUUCUCAAGUAUAUUGCACAUUACUGGAGAGUGCAUUUACCCAAGGGAAAAUAUGCCCCAAAAUAAUUUAUGAUCAGCCCAGUUCUAGCAAAAUGCAAGGAACAUGUUGUCCUCUAUGGAGCAGUGACGCAGUUUCACUGAUAUAAAAUUAGAUGAGGCUAAGACUGGGUGCUCUGAACGGCUGCAUGAUGGACACAUGGCUUUGAGUCCUGCACUGGGUUUGUGUUUUCUUUGUGUGCAUUUAGCACAGCUGUGGGGUGAGGACCCAAGCCCAUCAUAUACACACGGGUUAGUAAUGCCAGCUUCUGCAGAUUUUUUUUCAAAAGAGGUGGGAGGUUCAUGACUUGAAUACACACAGAAUGAGCCCCAUAGGUCAUUUGAUUGUAUUGGGUAAUGGUCUGAUUUUUGUGGUGAGGGGGAGAGAAGAGAGAGAGAAAAAAAAAAAAAAGAAAGAAAAGAAGGAGAGAGAUGAAAACAAUCAUCCUCUGAUACCUUCAGACUUCAGCAGAGAAGAUGGGGCUACCUGUCACUUGUCUUUCAACUCUUUAAAACUGACCUCUCUAAUUCUUAUAUACAGUGAGGACUUAGACAAGAAAUUAAACUAUAAAGAUACAAUUACUGGGGAACAGUGUGUGUGUAUACAUAUAUAUAUAUAAUUAUAUAUACUCAUAUAUACACUACCUAUAUAAUACUUUUAUAUACAACUAUAAAAUAAAAGGCAGACUUCACUAAUAAAAGAGAAGUGUUAAAUACUUCCAGGGUUCUU
Anas platyrhynchos (mallard) is the source of this 6075-nucleotide long non-coding RNA. RefSeq lists it as uncharacterized. NCBI's taxonomy places the organism in Eukaryota, Metazoa, Chordata, Aves, Anseriformes, Anatidae. The record is from RefSeq and is a predicted model, not a curated record.